GACGAACGCUGGCGGCGUGCUUAACACAUGCAAGUCGAACGGUGAACCUCUUCGGAGGGGAUCCUUGGCGAACGGGUGGGUAACACGUUGGCAAGCUGCCCCCGGCUCUGGGAUAACUCCAAGACUUUGGGGCUAAUGCCGGAUGUUCACCGCUUCCCGCAUGGGUCAUGGUGCAAAGGGUUUCCGGCUUGGGGUGGGCACGCGGCCUAUCAGCUUGUCGGUGUGGUAGUGGCCUACCAAGGCGGCGACGGGUAGCCGGCCCGAGAGGGUGACCGGCCACACGGGGACUGAGACAGGGCCCAGACUCGUACGGGAGGCAGCAGUGGGGAAUAUUGCGCAAUGGGCGGAAGCCUGACGCAGAGACGCCGCGUGGGGGAUGACGGCCUUCGGGGUGUAAACCUCUUUCAGCAGGGACGAAGAGCAAGUGACGGUACCUGCAGAAGAAGCACCGGCCAACUACGUG
This 463-nucleotide ribosomal RNA is filed under the name uncultured bacterium. RNAcentral's name for it is "partial 16S ribosomal RNA". It matches the Rfam family "Bacterial small subunit ribosomal RNA", at positions 28 to 507 of the family's 1533-position model. The record is from RNAcentral.